RNAcentral lists this unclassified non-coding RNA (348 nucleotides) under soil metagenome. Its description in RNAcentral is "partial contains 5.8S ribosomal RNA, internal transcribed spacer 2, and large subunit ribosomal RNA". The stretch from base 1 to 120 matches the Rfam family "5.8S ribosomal RNA", at positions 35 to 154 of the family's 154-position model. The record is from RNAcentral.
GAUGAAGAACGCAGCAAAAUGCGAUAAGUAAUGUGAAUUGCAGAAUUCAGUGAAUCAUCGAAUCUUUGAACGCACAUUGCGCCCGCUGGUAUUCCGGCGGGCAUGCCUGUUCGAGCGUCAUUUCAACCCUCAAGCCCCCGGGUUUGGUGUUGGGGAUCGGCUCUGCCCUUCUGGGCGGUGCCGCCCCCGAAAUACAUUGGCGGUCUCGCUGCAGCCUCCAUUGCGUAGUAGCUAACACCUCGCAACUGGAACGCGGCGCGGCCAUGCCGUAAAACCCCAACUUCUGAAUGUUGACCUCGGAUCAGGUAGGAAUACCCGCUGAAUUUGAGCAUAUCAAUAAGCGGAGGA